RNAcentral lists this ribosomal RNA (394 nucleotides) under uncultured bacterium. RNAcentral describes it as "bacterial SSU rRNA". It matches the Rfam family "Bacterial small subunit ribosomal RNA", at positions 28 to 423 of the family's 1533-position model. The record is from RNAcentral.
GACGAACGCUGGCGGCGUGCUUAACACAUGCAAGUCGAGCGGUAAGGCCCUUUCGGGGGUACACGAGCGGCGAACGGGUGAGUAACACGUGGGUGACCUGCCCUUAGCUCUGGGAUAAGCCUGGGAAACUGGGUCUAAUACCGGAUAUGACUCCAUGACGCAUGUUGUGGGGUGGAAAGCCUUGUGCGGCUAGGGAUGGGCCCGCGGCCUAUCAGCUUGUUGGUGGGGUGAUGGCCUACCAAGGCGACGACGGGUAGCCGGCCUGAGAGGGCGACCGGCCACACUGGGACUGAGACACGGCCCAGACUCCUACGGGAGGCAGCAGUGGGGAAUAUUGCGCAAUGGGCGAAAGCCUGACGCAGCGACGCCGCGUGUGGGAUGAAGGUCUUCGGUA